GGCUCCUUAGUUUAAUGGAUAGAAUGGAAGAUUCCGGUUCUUUUGAUGUGGGUUCGAUUCCCGCAGGAGUCA
Molecule: transfer RNA, 72 nt
Filed under: Bacteroidales bacterium
Lineage: Bacteria; Pseudomonadati; Bacteroidota; Bacteroidia; Bacteroidales
Description: tRNA-Arg
Rfam family: tRNA
About the family: Transfer RNA (tRNA) molecules are approximately 80 nucleotides in length. Their secondary structure includes four short double-helical elements and three loops (D, anti-codon, and T loops). Further hydrogen bonds mediate the characteristic L-shaped molecular structure. tRNAs have two regions of fundamental functional importance: the anti-codon, which is responsible for specific mRNA codon recognition, and the 3' end, to which the tRNAs corresponding amino acid is attached (by aminoacyl-tRNA synthetases). tRNAs cope with the degeneracy of the genetic code in two manners: having more than one tRNA (with a specific anti-codon) for a particular amino acid; and 'wobble' base-pairing, i.e. permitting non-standard base-pairing at the 3rd anti-codon position.
Source: RNAcentral